Molecule: long non-coding RNA, 2502 nt
Organism: Cairina moschata (Muscovy duck)
Lineage: Eukaryota; Metazoa; Chordata; Aves; Anseriformes; Anatidae
Source: Ensembl
CCUCUUCAUUCCUGGCAACGUACUGCAUUGUUCGCUUUUGGACAUGGAUCGUUUUCUGCCUCUUGGCUACAAAGGUUGAAACCCUCCUCUCCCUGACCACCCCUCUUUAUCGCCUUUCCCCCCCAACCCCCUGAAAAAAACCAAACCAAACCAAAAAAAAAAAAAACAAAACAACCCCCUGAAAAAAACCAAAAAAAAAAAAAAAAAAAAAAAAAAAAAAAAAAAAAAAAAAAAAAAGCAAAACCAAAAAAAAAAACCUCGGAAGACUGAAUCAGUACAAGUUGCAUCACUGGUAGGACUGACAGUUGUAUAAACAUUAGUGUUCCUUGCAGCUACACAGAAGACAAAUGGUAAAAAAGUUCGAGAUGAACAGAUUCCCUAUUCAGCAUAUUCAUAAAUUACUUGAAUGUGGAGGUGGAUCAUUUCGUCAAAAGCUGCUAGUUCGGUAUUUCUUUCGGGGAGUUUCUUAGCCCGCUGUGUUAGCACAGGGUGGAGCUUUCUAAGCCCUUCCUUGCUCUAGGUAUCAUCAGCUAAAUCUCCCCUGGCGAAGGCAACUGGGGAUGCACGCAUCUUACCUGCUUUGGGAACGAAUGGAAAAUAAAUCAGGAGUGCACACUUUGUGGUUUGCUUUUGGGGUGGGUUUUGGAUUUUUUGGGGGGGUCUUGCCUCAUCUGGAGUGGAAGCAGGACAAGAUCUUCAGUUCUUCACUCCGGGAAGGGCAUACGCUGCGGGCCGUGAGCCUGAACGUGAAGUUCAGCGUGCGAUCUGCUCGUCCCGCGGUGGCCACGCACACCAGAACAAGAAAAGCUUUUUCUCCUUUUCUUUCUUACGCGUGCCACAAACUACACUCGCCAUUUAUUUGUCUGUCCACAGAUGGUUUUAAAUAAACACCAAGUUGGUCUCGUCAUUAAUUUUUUUUUUUUUUUUACAGAAGCACAGUUCUGAAAAUCGCCGUGCAUCGAGGGGCUCCUGGCGGCUUCCUUACAAGACCCCGUUACAGACAGACCCUGGCUGGGCUCCACCGGGUCUGCCACCUCCUGGAAUAAAAAAAUAUGGCUUGUUCAGCGUCAUUUUACUCUCACCACCAUCCAGCGGGACAGCGCGAGCGCCACGCGGGAGCCUCCGCCCUGCCGAGGCCACCAGCGCUCGGAACCAGCGGCGGCCGCUACCGUCGGCUGGGAUUCGGCUUUCUUCCCCCCCCCGGCAUGGAAACCAAAGUCCGGCCUUUGCAACGGGACCCGCGUCUGUGACUCUGAACCCAACCUCCGUGCAUCCUCCUCUCCUGCUUUUCGUUUCUCCCUAGCGGUUUAAUCCACCUCCACAUUUGAGAAACUUAUCGACAAAUCAAAACAUUUCUCACGUUUUAUCGCUACUGAACAUAUUUACAGUUUUCCAGCACGCACACAGCUGAUCCGAAUGGUGAUGGGUAUGGCGAAGGUGAUCACAUGGUAGCUAUCAUAUUUGUUCUUUACGUCUUCAGAAACAAACAUAAAAUUCAGGUUCUCGUAUCUCGCUAUUUCAUUUAAAUGAGACUUUUUGUGUUUUGUUUUUUUUCAACCACACAGAUUUUUUUUUUUAUAAACAAAAACCGAUACAAUGUAUUAAAACACAUAAUAACAAGAGUCUACAUGUAAAAAUAUAACUUUUACAUACACAAUUCCAAAAUAAUGAUACGUUUGCCAUUUGUUGCAUAAAAUUUACAAAUGUAUUUUUCAUUACUCUAUAACUGGCAAAACAGGAGAACAGAUGGAACAUUUAGACCGUUUGAUGGAUUUAUGGCAUUUAUUCAGUGUUGAUAGGUGGAAAAUCUACUCGAACAGGGAGAUUUCAUUUAAAAUACAUGCCAGGUUUGUGUGGCUGUAAAAAUAGAAACUGGAAUUAGAGACAAAAGGAUGCUGACAAAUACUUAACUAGGAGCACUAUCUGUUAAUUGUACUGUACACCAAAGUCAAUCAGUAUUAAAGAUUCACUAUGGAAGUUGGUUCAAUUGUGCCCAGACUUCAAAGCUAGUUAUCUGAUGAGUUGCUGUGCCAUAGUUUGAUCUAUGUUACUAUUAAAUAUGUUAAGUAAAAACUUCAUUCAUACUGGCCAGAGAAAUACUGUACUACCACCCCUCCUCGAGAAAGUGCAACUUAAUGCUUUAGGACUCAUAAGGCUCGGUAUAAUGCUGCAUGAUGACUGAAAUUGGCAUUUUACAAAGAAAGGAGGAGGCAGCAAGUGGUCUACACUUAAAUAAUCCACUUCGAAACGAGAGAAGAACAACGCAAAGAAGUCAAUCGGAUCUGUCACACUACUUGCAGUUCCCCCCCCCCCCCAGGAUGGUUUCCCCUCCCUCCCUCCCGCCCCCCGUCCCCCCCGAAAUCUGACCAUGUAUUCAGAAACGCCUCACUGCACACUAUUUAGGCUACACACAUAGGUAACACUUUUAAUCGGGUCGUUAAAUCACAGCCACUUUGAUUCAUGUUAUGCUUCGGAUGAUAUAAACAUUGGAAGGCACAGUGG